UACGAAGGGGGCUAGCGUUGCUCGGAAUCACUGGGCGUAAAGGGUGCGUAGGCGGGUCUUUAAGUCAGGGGUGAAAUCCUGGAGCUCAACUCCAGAACUGCCUUUGAUACUGAGGAUCUUGAGUUCGGGAGAGGUGAGUGGAACUGCGAGUGUAGAGGUGAAAUUCGUAGAUAUUCGCAAGAACACCAGUGGCGAAGGCGGCUCUCUGGGCCCUACCUGACGCUGAGACGCGAAAGCGUGGGGAGCGAACCGG
RNAcentral lists this ribosomal RNA (253 nucleotides) under uncultured bacterium. RNAcentral's name for it is "partial 16S ribosomal RNA". It matches the Rfam family "Bacterial small subunit ribosomal RNA", at positions 524 to 776 of the family's 1533-position model. The record is from RNAcentral.